CCCAUCAUUUGGGUCGGAUUUGGUGGAUUUCAUUUGCGAAUUCCGGAAUAUACUUGUUUGGCUGCCACAGAAUUGAGGGUGGAUUUCAUUCUAAGAUUCCAGAGGAUGUAAACUUGGCCUAGGCCCAAAUCCCAGCCCCUCGCCCGUCAUUCUCCCGGAUUCCACUCGCUCGCUUCCCCCACCCUACCCCGACGCCUUCGUCUCUCGCCUCCUUCCCCCACCCUACCCCGACGCCCGCCGCCGCCGCCGCCGCCAUGAACCCCACCUUCUCGGCCGCCGGUGAUGCACCCCCCUGCCGGUGAAUGGCUUCUCCCCGAGUUCUCUUCCCCCGUCCCCUCUACACGCGAAGCUUUCUGUUCGAUGGUGUGCUGCCUCCGGUGACCACAGCGCCGUCGUCGAGCUCUCAAAUCCUGCCACCCGAUCCGGACAGAAGAUCGACUUCUUGACGAUUCCUCCGCCAGCCCACGGUCGGUCAGCUCCACACCCCGGAAGAUCGACCUUUUUGUGAUGUCAGACUUGUACAUUAACACAUUGCAUGGCGAUGAGAGGAGAAAGAAAAGGAAGAGGGCAGCUGCUGGAUUUUUUGUGUCGGUUGUCGCGAUAGUUCAACACACGUAUUGUUAGAGGAAGAUUAGAGAGCUUGAUGAUUUCAGUGAGGAUGAGGCGGAGAUUAGGAUUAGAAAGCAGAUGCUUAGAUCAAUUUAUCAGGGUUCUAACAAGCACUGUUUUGAUAGUUUGCGCCUAACUAAACGGUCCUUUGUGGACCUGUGCGCUAUUUUGCGUGAAAGAUGUGGUUUGGGGGACACAUUUUAUGUGUCGGUUGAAGAAUCAGUCACAAUGUUUCUGCUAGUGCUAAGCCAUGGGAUGAAAUACCGGUUAAUUGAAAGCACGUAUAGAUGGGCACUCGAGACCAUCAGUAGGCAUUUCAAUGAGAUCUUAAGAGCUGUCCUUUCCUUGUCUCAUGAGUUUAUAAAGCUACCAACCCCUUCAGCUGAGCAGCCCGAGGAUAGUAGAUGGAAAUGGUUUCCAGAUGGGCUAGGAGCUUUAGAUGGCACACAUGUUGAUGUCCGUGUUUCCGCUCUCAAGCAAGGCAGAUACAGGAAUAGAAAGCAAGAUGUGACCACUAAUGUGCUUGGUGUUUGUGACCGGAAUAUGGAGUUUUUGUAUGUCUUAGCUGGAUGGGAAGGUUCUGCAUCUGAUUCACGAGUGUUGCGAGAUGCAAUGUCACGACAAGACGCUUUUAGAGUUCCACAUGGAAAAUACUACCUUGUAGAUGCUGGGUACACUAAUGGUCCGGGCUUCUUUGCUCCAUACCGGUCAGUCCGGUACCAUUUGAAAGAAUGGGCGGCUAAUGGAAAUAACCCACAAACUCCAAGAGAGUUAUAUAAUCUGCGACAUGCAUCAGCUAGGAAUGUGAUAGAGAGAACUUUUGGUCUACUAAAAAUGAGAUGGGCUAUUUUGGGGACUAGUUCAUUUUUUCGCAUACGGAAUCAGAUCCGUGUCAUUAAUGCUUGCUGCAUAUUGCAUAACUUUCUAAGAGAUAGGCAGAGAGAGAUGGAUGAUAUAAUGCUAAUUGACGUGGAUAAUCAGUUAAAUGCUGCUGCCAUCGAACAUCCUGAAGAACCAAACAUGAUUAGACAUGUUGAAUCAACAACUGAGUGGAACAACAAGCGAGAUACCUUAGCUAAUCAAAUGUGGGCAGAUUACCAAAGGAGACGCGGGGGAGCCAAUCAUUGAAUUCAUUCAUUUGAAGAUAUGGAUGUGGAGAAGAAAGGAGGUAGAAACUACCUUACCUGGAUGGAUGAAAUGGAUGAAGCAAUGCUGAAUGUGUUCGUGGAGCAUUACAAUAGAGGGGAUCGUGCUCAAAAUGGGUCGAAGCCACAUGUCUACACUGCAGUUGUCAAGAAUGUUCGAGCCAAGUGCAAUGUGGAUAUCACAAAGGAUAAUGUCAUAUCAAGGUGCAAGACUAUUGAUAGACACUAUGUCAAUGUCAGCAAGAUGUUGUCAACGAGUGGUUUUGGGUGGAAUUGGAUCCAUAACAAGCUUAUGGUUGAUAGUGAGGACGUGUGGAGAAACUAUGUCAAGGCAAACAAAGAUGCAGCAUGCUACAGGCACAAGGUCAUAAAGUUUUGGGACUCUAUCAGCCUUGUCUUCUCGAGGGAUCAUGCCACCGGAACGGGAGCCAGAACUGUUGGUGAAAGUGCAGCAGAAAUGGCUGCAGAGAAUGUCAACAACAUCAACACUGAUUCUGCCGCAACAUCUUCAACCCAAACCGGCGAGGAACAGAAGAGGAAAAGAUAUCGAUCGGAUGACUCAAUUGCAUCUAUGCUUGGAGAGAAAUUGGAUAAUUUUACCAGUGCCUACAAAGCUGAUAUCGCUCAAGUUGCUCCUCCUGAGAAACCCUCCUCUCCUGAAGAAAUACUUGACGCUCUCAAUGCAAUUGUGGGACUGGAUGAUGAUGGCUUGCUAGCAGCUUAUGAUUUCCUCAUAGCAGAUGAUCGCAAGUUCAAGGCUCUUAUGGCGCUGCCUGAAAGGAUGAAGAAGAAAUGGAUCCUCAAGCAAAUCAACCAAUGAAGGAAAUUUUGGGUGAAGUGUGAUGUUGAACGAACAGAACGAAGAAAUGAAGAUCCUUGAGCAAUGAAAAUCUUUCUUGGAUGGUGCUAAUAAUGCAAAGAUUCAGUUUUUAUGUAACCUUGACUAGAUUAUGAUCAUUUGAUGUUGUUGUGAACCUUUGUCGUAUUGCAAAGAUUAACUUUUUACAAAGUCUCAUGUUUAAGUUAUAUGUAUUGGCAUGGUUCAGUUUAAUGCAAAACAUUGCCAUGUGUGAACAAACGAGCUGUCAAUGUUGGUGUUGGUACAGAUUUGUUCAUACUAUUUAUU
RNA transcript from Triticum aestivum (bread wheat), 2880 nucleotides. RefSeq lists it as uncharacterized. The transcript has 8 exons. Lineage: Eukaryota; Viridiplantae; Streptophyta; Magnoliopsida; Poales; Poaceae. The record is from RefSeq and is a predicted model, not a curated record.